GAUGAACGCUAGCGGGAGGCUUAACACAUGCAAGUCGAGGGGUAGGAGUAGCAAUACUUCGAGACCGGCGGACGGGUGCGUAACGCGUAUGCAACUUACCUUAAACAGGGGGAUAGGUCCCGGAAACGGGAAUUAACACCUCAUAAUCCAUUAUGAUUGCAUGAUUUAAAUGGGAAAACUGUGGUGGUUUAAGAUGGGCAUGCGUCUGAUUAGCUGGUUGGUAGGGUAACGGCCUACCAAGGCGACGAUCAGUAGGGGUUCUGAGAGGAUACACCCCCACACUGGUACUGAGACACGGACCAGACUCCUACGGGUGGCAG
Molecule: ribosomal RNA, 320 nt
Filed under: uncultured Bacteroidota bacterium
Lineage: Bacteria; Pseudomonadati; Bacteroidota
Description: bacterial SSU rRNA
Rfam family: Bacterial small subunit ribosomal RNA
Source: RNAcentral